Molecule: ribosomal RNA, 252 nt
Filed under: uncultured bacterium
Lineage: Bacteria
Description: partial 16S ribosomal RNA
Rfam family: Bacterial small subunit ribosomal RNA
Source: RNAcentral
UACGUAGGGAGCAAGCGUUGUCCGGAAUUACUGGGUGCAAAGGGAGCGUAGGCGGGAUGGCAAGUAGAAUGUUAAAUCCAUCGGCUCAACCGGUGGCUGCGUUCUAAACUGCCGUUCUUGAGUGAAGUAGAGGCAGGCGGAAUUCCUAGUGUAGCGGUGAAAUGCGUAGAUAUUAGGAGGAACACCAGUGGCGAAGGCGGCCUGCUGGGCUUUAACUGACGCUGAGGCUCGAAAGCGUGGGGAGCAAACAGG